This 259-nucleotide small RNA is filed under the name Homo sapiens (human). RNAcentral describes it as "Metazoan signal recognition particle RNA (ENSG00000276202.1)". Lineage: Eukaryota; Metazoa; Chordata; Mammalia; Primates; Hominidae. The record is from RNAcentral.
GCCAGGCAUGGUGAUGCAUGCCUGUAAUCUCAGCUACUCAGGAGGCUGAGACGAGAGAAUCACUUGAACCCUGGUGUGCCAUUGCACUCUAGCCUGGGUGACAGAGUGAGACUUCGUCUCAAAAUAAAUAAAGAUUAGAGUUGAGGCCAGGCGGUGGCUCACACCUGUAAUCCCAGCACUUUGAGAGGCCAAGGUGGGAAGAUCACUUGAGACCAGGAGUUUGAGACCAGCCUGGGUAACAUAGUGAGACCCCAUCUCU